Molecule: ribosomal RNA, 722 nt
Filed under: uncultured bacterium
Lineage: Bacteria
Description: bacterial SSU rRNA
Rfam family: Bacterial small subunit ribosomal RNA
Source: RNAcentral
UGCAGUCGAACGGUAACGCGGGGCAACCUGGCGACGAGUGGCGAACGGGUGAGUAAUACAUCGGAACGUGCCCAGUAGUGGGGGAUAGCCCGGCGAAAGCCGGAUUAAUACCGCAUACGACCUACGGGUGAAAGCGGGGGAUCGCAAGACCUCGCGCUAUUGGAGCGGCCGAUGUCAGAUUAGGUAGUUGGUGAGGUAAAGGCUCACCAAGCCUUCGAUCUGUAGCUGGUCUGAGAGGACGACCAGCCACACUGGGACUGAGACACGGCCCAGACUCCUACGGGAGGCAGCAGUGGGGAAUUUUGGACAAUGGGCGCAAGCCUGAUCCAGCCAUGCCGCGUGCGGGAAGAAGGCCUUCGGGUUGUAAACCGCUUUUGUCAGGGAAGAAACGCUCUGGGCUAAUACCCUGGGGUAAUGACGGUACCUGAAGAAUAAGCACCGGCUAACUACGUGCCAGCAGCCGCGGUAAUACGUAGGGUGCAAGCGUUAAUCGGAAUUACUGGGCGUAAAGCGUGCGCAGGCGGUUGUGCAAGACAGAUGUGAAAUCCCCGGGCUUAACCUGGGAACUGCAUUUGUGACUGCAUAGCUAGAGUGCGGCAGAGGGGGAUGGAAUUCCGCGUGUAGCAGUGAAAUGCGUAGAUAUGCGGAGGAACACCGAUGGCGAAGGCAAUCCCCUGGGCCUGCACUGACGCUCAUGCACGAAAGCGUGGGGAGCAAACAGG